CCGAGCAGCGGAGGCACCGUGCCUCCAGCCGGGUGGUUUCACACUCUGAUUAUCCUCCCCCGAGGGAAAAACAGGGCCUAAUUCUAACCAGAAUUUUUCCGACUUCCAGUCCACACUGUGGACUCCAGCUUCACCUUUUUCUUUCUUUUUUUUUUUUUUAUCAGAUAAAAGAGCCUUCAUGUACAGAAAGCUCCCCCCGGGCUGCCUCCUCGCAGCACUGCCUGUAGCUGGUGGGAGAGCUGGAGCUGCUUUAGUCUGGCACCACGGGCAGGUUCUCCACACCCCGAAACGUUCCCGGCUCUGAACCUUUUCCAGCUUUCUGGAGGUAUUUUUCAAAGUCUGGUUAAGGCACCGCAGGAAUCAAAGGAUCUGGGUUGUUCCCAGGCUCCUGGGCUGUGUCACACCGGGCCCCUUUUUUCCUUUCAUUUCUCCUGGUUUCAGUGAUUUUCGUCCUGGGAGGGGAGCUCCGAGGGACAGGGCUGGAGGGUGGCUCUGCAGGGCCUCACCCUUGGGAGCCCAGAGCCUAAGUUCUACAACUAGGUUCUUGACAUUGAUUAUGAAAGAGUGUAAAAGAGGAAUAAAUUAAGACAAAUUACACAGCUGAUGCUUUUGUCGUUUACCCAGCUGCAAGCCAUGACUAUUACCAUGAAGGUCAAUGAAGCUGGGUGUGUAUAAAAGCAAAAGAGGGGGAAAAAAAAAAAAAAAGAGAUGCCACUUUGGGAGCAUGCUGUGGCUUUCUUGGGAAAAAUGCCAUUUCAUAGCAUUUUUGGUACCACUUGUCAGUAAUUCUCUAGCCUUCCCCUGCCUUGGGCUAGGGCUGACCCAGGCAGGGCAUCCUGAUGGGAUCCCAGUGGGGGCAGGUGAUGCCCGAGGGGAGCGAGGAGAGGCAGCGAGGCGCUCGGCGAUCAGCACAGGGAGGCUCGCCGGGAGGAGCGGAGGCGAUCUGCAUGCAAGGUGCCUAGAGCGGGGUGCGAGACAUGCAACCGGCAAGCAAGCUCCUGACCCUCUUCUUUCUCAUCCUGAUGGGCACAGAACUCACUCAAGUAGGUUUCGCUCUUGCUUCUUCUUCUCAACCCCCCCCCCAACCCAACCCAUCCCCACCUUUUUCUCCCCAACGCCAUUUUCUGCUAAAUCUCGGGAGCGCAAAUAAAAAGAAUUUAUCCCCCUCGAGUAGGGGAUUGCAACCUCUGGUCCCCCCCCCCCUUUUGCUGCAGCCCGUGCCCUGGGUGCACCUGCAGCGGGGCUGGGGUGGGGGGGGGACAGGGUGGGGGUAUUGGCACAGGGGUUUGGGGAGGGGAGGAGAGGGGCUGCACGGGGUGGGGAAGGGGCAGGGGGGGUCUCCCGCAGCCCCCCUGGGGGACACGGGGCCCUUCGGUGCCCCCCCGCAGCCCCACUCGUGUUUGUGGGUCGGGGGGUGCUCCGUGGCCCCUCGCUGCCUGCGGCUUGGUGAAGUUUGGGGCUGCGUGUCCCG
This 1471-nucleotide long non-coding RNA is filed under the name Anas platyrhynchos platyrhynchos (common mallard). RNAcentral's name for it is "lncRNA (ENSAPLG00000026553.1)". The record is from RNAcentral. Lineage: Eukaryota; Metazoa; Chordata; Aves; Anseriformes; Anatidae.